AUUGAACGCUGGCGGCAUGCCUUACACAUGCAAGUCGAACGGCAGCGCGGGGCAACCUGGCGGCGAGUGGCGAACGGGUGAGUAAUAUAUCGGAACGUACCCUGGAGUGGGGGAUAACGUAGCGAAAGUUACGCUAAUACCGCAUACGAUCUAAGGAUGAAAGUGGGGGAUCGCAAGACCUCAUGCUCCUGGAGCGGCCGAUAUCUGAUUAGCUAGUUGGUGGGGUAAAGGCCUACCAAGGCAUCGAUCAGUAGCUGGUCUGAGAGGACGACCAGCCACACUGGAACUGAGACACGGUCCAGACUCCUACGGGAGGCAGCAGUGGGGAAUUUUGGACAAUGGGCGAAAGCCUGAUCCAGCAAUGCCGCGUGAGUGAAGAAGGCCUUCGGGUUGUAAAGCUCUUUUGUCAGGGAAGAAACGGUGAGAGCUAAUAUCUUUUGCUAAUGACGGUACCUGAAGAAUAAGCACCGGCUAACUACGUGCCAGCAGCCGCGGUAAUACGUAGGGUGCAAGCGUUAAUCGGAAUUACUGGGCGUAAAGCGUGCGCAGGCGGUUUUGUAAGUCUGUCGUGAAAUCCCCGGGCUCAACCUGGGAAUUGCGAUGGAGACUGCAAGGCUAGAAUCUGGCAGAGGGGGGUAGAAUUCCACGUGUAGCAGUGAAAUGCGUAGAGAUGUGGAGGAACACCGAUGGCGAAGGCAGCCCCCUGGGUCAAGAUUGACGCUCAUGCACGAAAGCGUGGGGAGCAAACAGGAUUAGAUACCCUGGUAGUCCACGCCCUAAACGAUGUCUACUAGUUGUCGGGUUUUAAUUAACUUGGUAACGCAGCUAACGCGUGAAGUAGACCGCCUGGGGAGUACGGUCGCAAGAUUAAAACUCAAAGGAAUUGACGGGGACCCGCACAAGCGGUGGAUGAUGUGGAUUAAUUCGAUGCAACGCGAAAAACCUUACCUACCCUUGACAUGUACGGAAGCCACGAGAGAUCGAGGUGUGCUCGAAAGAGAGCCGUAACACAGGUGCUGCAUGGCUGUCGUCAGCUCGUGUCGUGAGAUGUUGGGUUAAGUCCCGCAACGAGCGCAACCCUUGUCAUUAGUUGCUACGAAAGAGCACUCUAAUGAGACUGCCGGUGACAAACCGGAGGAAGGUGGGGAUGACGUCAAGUCCUCAUGGCCCUUAUGGGUAGGGCUUCACACGUCAUACAAUGGUACAUACAGAGGGCCGCCAACCCGCGAGGGGGAGCUAAUCCCAGAAAGUGUAUCGUAGUCCGGAUUGUAGUCUGCAACUCGACUACAUGAAGUUGGAAUCGCUAGUAAUCGCGGAUCAGCAUGUCGCGGUGAAUACGUUCCCGGGUCU
Molecule: ribosomal RNA, 1350 nt
Filed under: uncultured bacterium
Lineage: Bacteria
Description: bacterial SSU rRNA
Rfam family: Bacterial small subunit ribosomal RNA
Source: RNAcentral